CUCCUCCGCUACGGAUGGCUGAUGGGGGAUCGAUUGGGUGCGGCCUGUCCUUACCCACAAUCCACCGCGCGGCUCGAAGAAUUGGCGGCAAGGAUUACAGUCACUCUCAAAUUGGUCCUUGUGCCAGUAAAAGACAAUGCCAAGUAACCCCAAAUAGGAAGACUCCCCUAUCCUCCAACAAAAGUAAGGGUUCAAGAGAAAUAAAUGCUUGGUGACUAUGUUGCAACCCUCCACUGCUUGUUUCCAUCAAGUAAAGACGGAGGCUGCUGACUUGGACCUAGAAUGCGAAUCAACGAGCCUCAUUCUAAGAUGUCUCGUCAGGAAAAAAUGAAGUGGAAUGGGUUCACUUCCUGUCCCCUCCCAUGGUGGUCUUCAAAUGGGGCCCCUAUCAAAAGCCCCCCCAUGCACACUCCCUGUGGAUGAUCCCCCCCCUCACGCUCCCCCUUCAGCAGCGGCUGGUAAUUGCUACAGUGAGAUGUGGAUCAGUGGAGCUGCCCUAAUCAAUAAAGUCUUCAUCAGCUAUUUCCCCUGAUGAUUCUCCCUCAUUUCUGCCUUAAUUGUUCUUUUUCAUCCAACAAGCCCGGCACCGUUAGUGUGUGUGUUGGUUUGUAUGUGUGUGUGUGCGAAUGUGCAUCUCGACGGACCAACAGCGAACGAUGGCCAAGCUGAAGGAACCCGACGAGAACUCUGCGGGAACAAAGUUUCACCUUCCCGGGGAGAAGUUUGAUAACCGAAACCAGAACCAUACAGAAAUCAGAACCUGACUUGACUCAUUUCCAUCAACACAGCACUUAUUGCCCUUCUGUGCCAGUAAAACGGUAUGGGAGCGCCUCUGUCCCCGGGGGGAGGGGUCACCGUCUUGCACCGAACCAUCGCCGCUCAUGUGCAGAAGUCCAAUCAAGCAGUCAGAAGAGAGAUGUCUGGAUGAAAGCUACUUUGCAGUGUGCUUCAGUUGGACAGCUUCAGUUGGACUCACACUCAUCAAAAAGUCAAGUGGCGGUCUACUGGGAAACGAAGAAAACAUGCUUGGUCAGGACAUCUGGAGUGGCUCCAGUCAAGUUACGGUCCAUUUGACACAAACAGCGUCCUCACCUCGCCUCCUGGAACCUGAGCAUCAAUCGGAGGAUGAUGUUGGGUGGCAGCCACGGCGUUGGGGGUCAUUUCAGUCCAUUCGAACAUGAACAGGCAAGCGGGUCAAAGGUAUCGGAGACAGCUGUCCGCCUCCAUCUUCAUCAUGGCCGCCGUGCCCGUGAGUAAUCUCUGAUUUCACUCUGAUUACAUCUCCAGAGGCCUGACUCAGCCAUCUUGGCUUUGGUCGCGCAUACGUGGUCGCUGAUCGUAAAUACAAUAUGUGCAUACGCUACAUCACUGUAGUUCACGCUUUCAUUUGCGUUCUGUUCAGUUUUGGCGUGUUUGUAACAGAUCUCGUCCCCUGGUGAAAACGCACAAAACUUUAUUUGUUCAUACUCUGAAUUGGUGUCCUAAUUUGGGAUCCUGGAAGGUUUCGCUCAAGUUAUCUAAUCACUGAACCCUUCCCAACUUCAGACAGUCGACUGUGAAUGGAUAUUUCCUUUUCGUGCACAGUUAUUGUCUUGAGCGUACGACUUGAGUUUCCAGUAUGGGGGGGGGUCAGGCAACGCUAGUCGACCCAGAUCUAACCAAUGUGAUGGAUGGACUCGAACCAGAAACAACACGUCUAUUUGAGUCGGGCAUUGUAUGUCACUGGGUUCCAGUGUAUGUGUGUGUGUGUUUGUUUCCUCUCAACACGUGUGCGCUACUAAAAAAACUCAGUUUCAUAACACACACACACACACACACACACACACACUGGGCUGCUGUCGACUGGGAAAUGUUUGGAAGGCAUGGCAACCCAUUUCCAAAAUGGAAUAAAAGCUUGGCAGCAGAUGGACUCGUCUGUGGGCCUGUGGCACUCCUUUUUCCUGUAAUUGGAGAGCAUUUUGUGGGCCUGGCAGGAGCGCUAGUGUCAGGGCCCUGCGCAAAAAAAAAAAAAAAAAAAAAAAAAACGAACAUAAACACUGGAUUUGAAUGAGUAGCACAGCACAUCAGCAGCAAACAUGCUCGCCAUCUGCUCCCGAUGAAGCUGAUUUACGACGCCCGGUUUUCGAUCUGACGAGGAAUAUCUCGAGCACGUUAAUGACACGUAGCGUUCGGGUGAAGUUUAUCAACUGCCAUAAACAUCAACACUUCCCCUAACUGACAACCUUUGUCAGAAGGGGCUCAUUUGGAGCUUACGGCAUGCGGACGAUGUUAAUUCAUGGAAAUUAAGAAUGUGCUGGACCGCGUCUGCCUGACUCACAGUUCGGAGAAGCAAUUGAUUAAUUACAAUUACAAACUGCUCUCACAAGCACAAUGAAUUCAUGUGUUGCCCUUAACGGCAUUGAAUACAAUUUGUUUCUUGACAAAUCGAAUCGUGAGUUUUUGUUGCUACCAAACUAUGUUAAA
This is a long non-coding RNA of Syngnathus acus (greater pipefish), 2463 nucleotides long. RefSeq lists it as uncharacterized. NCBI's taxonomy places the organism in Eukaryota, Metazoa, Chordata, Actinopteri, Syngnathiformes, Syngnathidae. The record is from RefSeq and is a predicted model, not a curated record. The transcript is spliced from 11 exons.